This is a non-coding RNA of Thamnophis sirtalis, 243 nucleotides long. Lineage: Eukaryota; Metazoa; Chordata; Lepidosauria; Squamata; Natricidae. The record is from RefSeq and is a predicted model, not a curated record.
CCCGCAGAGAGAAGGCUCUGGCCCUGACCGGCAACCAGGGGAUCGAACAAGCCAUGGAUUGGUUGGUGGAACAUGAGAACGAUCCCAAUCUGGACGAGCCCUUCACGGAUCCUCCAGUGCCCGUUCCGGAUGCCGAGGAACCCGCCAAAGGAACGACGCCGGAGUUGGAACAAGGAGGGUCAGGUGAGCUGGCAGAAGGAGAGACGCAGCGUCCCCUGACGGAAGAGGAAAAGCAGGAACAGA